AUAAGAAUAAAAAUUCAUUGAAGAUCGAACUCAAUUAUAAAAAUAUCGAUCCUCAGGUAUACUCGAACCUAAUUAUAAAAAGAAGCAAAAAAAAGGAGUCCUAAGCUUCAGCUGAAGUAGGGGCACCUUGCUCAGAGGGAGCUCCUAGCUCGAAAGUUCUCAGCUAUAGGCAAGGACUGGAGGGCAAAAGCAUCUUCUUUAGCUCUCUUCACUUCAUCUCCAUCUUCAUCGUCCUCAUCAUCGACAUCCAGCAAGUUGAAGUCGAUGUUCAGGAAAAGACAUCAAACCCUAGCCUUAAGAUCAGCAAGGCCCUGCAUGUACGACUCCAAAGCGAACUCCAGUUUUAUCUUGGUGAACUCUUCAGAAGAGCAAAACACUUCCACGAUGGCAGCCUUUUCUUGCUCAAGUUUCUUCUCCCAUUGACUUGCUGUCAAUCGAAGCCCUUCAGUCAAUCGAGCUUCAGCCUAGCUUUGAGCCUGUGUGACCUCGAUCUCCAUCAACUUCAACUUAGCCUUCA
This 517-nucleotide long non-coding RNA is filed under the name Elaeis guineensis (African oil palm). RNAcentral's name for it is "long non-coding RNA (EGUI_LNC055737)". Lineage: Eukaryota; Viridiplantae; Streptophyta; Magnoliopsida; Arecales; Arecaceae. The record is from RNAcentral.